AUGUGUAGCCAAGGGGUAUGGCAACGGGCUUUUAAUCCGUAUACCGCAGGUUCGAAUCCUGUCACAUGC
RNAcentral lists this transfer RNA (69 nucleotides) under uncultured Enterocloster sp. It matches the Rfam family "tRNA". From Rfam's summary of the family: Transfer RNA (tRNA) molecules are approximately 80 nucleotides in length. Their secondary structure includes four short double-helical elements and three loops (D, anti-codon, and T loops). Further hydrogen bonds mediate the characteristic L-shaped molecular structure. tRNAs have two regions of fundamental functional importance: the anti-codon, which is responsible for specific mRNA codon recognition, and the 3' end, to which the tRNAs corresponding amino acid is attached (by aminoacyl-tRNA synthetases). tRNAs cope with the degeneracy of the genetic code in two manners: having more than one tRNA (with a specific anti-codon) for a particular amino acid; and 'wobble' base-pairing, i.e. permitting non-standard base-pairing at the 3rd anti-codon position. The record is from RNAcentral. Lineage: Bacteria; Bacillati; Bacillota; Clostridia; Lachnospirales; Lachnospiraceae.